Molecule: long non-coding RNA, 2057 nt
Filed under: Capra hircus (goat)
Lineage: Eukaryota; Metazoa; Chordata; Mammalia; Artiodactyla; Bovidae
Description: lncRNA (ENSCHIG00010012052.1)
Source: RNAcentral
AGACAGGACCAGGGUUGUAUUUGGGCCAUGAUUUGAUGAAGAUCAUAACUGACUCAUGAAAAAAGUUGUAAUGGGGCUUCUCUGCUUAAGUUUCAGUUCAGUUCAGUUCAGUUCAGUCGCUCAGUCUAUGUUAUACUAAAAAAAAAGAACACAUGCAUCAGAUCAUAUUCCACACCAAAAUGAUAGCAGAAGUUAUUCUACUUUUUUUAAGUUGGCAAAAACACUACAAGUGACCAGGCAAGAAUGACUAAGGACAGAAGAGAUUCAAAGCCCACUAACUGCUCACUGAAUGAACUGCAGUCACAGAGGCAUCACUUGGGAAGGAAGCGUUCUGACACGUAGAGUGGAAAAUGUGCCUCAGAAGGAGGAGUCCCAAGACCUGGGUUCAAAACCCCACUCUGCUAUUCACCUGCUGUGCGGUGGCUGGGGGGCUCAACUUACAUCCUUGGUCCUUUAUAUUUUCAACUGUAAAAAAAUAGGCUAGCCGUUCUAGUUCUGAGAUUGUAUGAUUAUCUGAUUACCAAAUUUACCUUAUCUACCAAUCACCAUGGUACAAAACAUUCAAAGAUGACAACAUUAUUAUCAACAAAUUCUUUGAUCAAAUCAGUUGUUUUGUUUUGCUUUUUUUGGUCAAAAGAAACAGAAGGCACCUACGUUGAACAUGUUUCAUUUCCUGGCAUACUCACCAACUCUCUGGAAAGUAAAUACUAUCAGGACCCCUAAACUGAAGCUCAAAAGGACGCAGUAUUUGCUUAAAGUAUCCUCAGGACCGAGACCGUGUACCUAUUUUUGCACUGCCACACCAUUGAGAUCCACUGUGUGAAUUCAACCCUGUGAAGUCACACAGCUGGAAUCUACUUUUAAAAGCACCCUGUAUAUUUUGACUACAGGUCAGAACCUAAUCAGGUAUGAUUGAGCAGCUGACAAAGUACAGGAUAUUUAUAAAGCCCGUUCCUACACACAUCAAAAUGUUUUUAAAUAUUAAAAAGACAAAGCUUUUAAACCAGUACAAAAACAUUUUCAUAGUCUAGUCUAAAAACAGAGUAUUUAACCCAAGGUACUUAUAUAUAAGAAAAUAUAAGUGGAUCCCAUACGCACAUAAAACAGUGAUGUAGUCCCAAGGCAUGGGAGUCAUUGGUGGUGUAACUAUGGUGAGUAUAUUCCUAGCCAUGUGUUCCAAAACUGAUAUAAACAUAAUCAGUGGGAAAUUAAAUUCUGAUAGAGCCAAGAGUAUUGCUUUGAAAAGCUUUUAAGCAUUUAUCUCUCCAAUGAUCUCAUGGGGAGUUCAAGCUAGCUUUUCAAGCAAUGACACUGUCCAAAGCUCUAAAAAGCAGAUAUUUAUCAUAGCAUUCAAUCUGUUGCAAGGAUUUCUUGGCAGUUUGAGUCAGUAUAAAGAAAUAAAGUUUUCACGUUAUCACAAAUGGGGAAAGAAGUUGUUAUCUUAAAGUACUACCUCUCCUUACCCUUUAAUUUAAUUAAGAUACUCUCUCGAGGUUAUAAUAAUGACUUUUAUUAUUCUUUACACUAAUAAUAUUUGUUUCCUACAAAUAUGAAUGUAAAUGUGUGAAAAAAUAAAAAUAACUUUUAAAAAAUGACACUAGAUGACCAACGCAAAAUAGAUGAUCAACUUUAUCAGUUUUGUUUUAUAUUUUCAGUUGUGUUACUAUCUCCCAAAGGAAUGCUUCGGAGUCAAUGGUACUGACAAGUUUGAAAUGCAAAUGUAUACUGCUCAUAAAUACAUUAUUUUCAAGGAAUGCAGUAUUUGACUCAAAAUAUUAAUGUUUGAACUAUUAUAUACAAAUGUUCGGCAUUAUGAGAAUACAAGGCAAUAAAAUCUAGUUUUCAUACUCAAGGAGCUUUUAAUCCAUGAGUAGAGAUAAAAAUUUCAUCUUCAGAUGAAAUUGAGACAAGAUGAUAUUAUGUGGGAACAGUAACACAACAGCAAAAUUAUCAUCUUGAAUGAACUUUCUCAAUGAGAUCUUGAACUGUCUAAAGUGGUUUAUUUAAAUACCUUUAUGAAAUUUUGAAUAAUGUUUCUAGCCUCUAUAAGGUAUCAA